Molecule: ribosomal RNA, 492 nt
Filed under: uncultured bacterium
Lineage: Bacteria
Description: partial 16S ribosomal RNA
Rfam family: Bacterial small subunit ribosomal RNA
Source: RNAcentral
AGUGAACGCUGGCGGUAGGCCUAACACAUGCAAGUCGAACGGCAGCACAGUAAGAGCUUGCUCUUACGGGUGGCGAGUGGCGGACGGGUGAGGAAUACAUCGGAAUCUACUUUUUCGUGGGGGAUAACGUAGGGAAACUUACGCUAAUACCGCAUACGACCUACGGGUGAAAGCAGGGGAUCUUCGGACCUUGCGCGAUUGAAUGAGCCGAUGUCGGAUUAGCUAGUUGGCGGGGUAAAGGCCCACCAAGGCGACGAUCCGUAGCUGGUCUGAGAGGAUGAUCGGCCGCACUGGAACUGGAACACGGACCAGACUCCUGCGAGAGGCAGCAGUGGGGAAUAUUGGGCAAUGGGCGCGAGCCUGAUCCAGCCAUACCGCGUGGGUGAAGAAGGCCUUCGGGUUGUAAAGACCUUUUGUUGGGAAAGAAAAGCAGCAGGUUAAUACCCCGCUGUUCUGACGGUACCCAAAGAAUAAGCACCGGCUAACUUCGUG